This is a non-coding RNA of Pelobates cultripes (western spadefoot toad), 232 nucleotides long. The record is from the annotation of a GenBank genome assembly. Lineage: Eukaryota; Metazoa; Chordata; Amphibia; Anura; Pelobatidae.
CACACCCCUCUGGACCUGAUGGUACACAGUGUUACAAGGAACAAUAACCAAUAAGAACAAAGUGCAUCUUUUCAAACCCUCCCCUCUAUCCUGGAGAUAAUUAGCUUAAAUGGUUACAGUAACUUAAUUAUCUCCAGGUACAGGCAAUAUUCUGGUUUUGCAAUUACACUAAAACCUACAUAAAAAUCCAUAACUCAUAAAGUAUAUUAUUUAACUUAUACAUUCAACAUAC